GAGAGGGGAGGGACGGCCGCCGCCUUCGAGGUGAGGAAAGUCCCCCCACCAUUUGGAUACGCAAAUGCCCGUGAGGGCAUACGGCGAGAGUCGUGGCAAUGGCACAGAAACGGCACGGCCGCGGGUUAAAGCGGUGAUCCGGGAACGGUGAGGUCGCCCGCGCGCCGAUGAAACGGUGAAUCCUUGCGGGUGCAAGCUGAAGCGGGCCAUAAAGGGGAGUCCAGACCCGGCCCCGGUAGAAGCGCAUAGAUGAAUGCCGUCGGCCUUCGGGCCAGGAACAUAAGGGGGCUUACUAUCCCGACUC
Non-coding RNA from Methanocella paludicola SANAE, 304 nucleotides. The record is from Rfam. NCBI's taxonomy places the organism in Archaea, Methanobacteriati, Methanobacteriota, Methanomicrobia, Methanocellales, Methanocellaceae.